AGCAGUCGCCACGGUAAUACGUAGGGCGCAAGCGUUAUCCGGAAUUAUUGGGCGUAAAGAGCUCGUAGGCGGUUUGUCGCGUCUGCCGUGAAAGUCCGGGGCUCAACCCCGGAUCUGCGGUGGGUACGGGCAGACUAGAGUGAUGUAGGGGAGACUGGAAUUCCUGGUGUAGCGGUGAAAUGCGCAGAUAUCAGGAGGAACACCAAUGGCGAAGGCAGGUCUCUGGGCAUUAACUGACGCUGAGGAGCGAAAGCAUGGGGAGCGAACAGGAUUAGAUACCCCAGUAGUCCCUGUCUCUUAUAC
Molecule: ribosomal RNA, 303 nt
Filed under: uncultured bacterium
Lineage: Bacteria
Description: partial 16S ribosomal RNA
Rfam family: Bacterial small subunit ribosomal RNA
Source: RNAcentral